Molecule: ribosomal RNA, 141 nt
Filed under: Meloidoderita kirjanovae
Lineage: Eukaryota; Metazoa; Nematoda; Chromadorea; Rhabditida; Sphaeronematidae
Description: partial 18S ribosomal RNA
Rfam family: Eukaryotic small subunit ribosomal RNA
Source: RNAcentral
GAGGCUUUUCGAGAAAUCCGGGGAUUGCUGUUUGAGGCCCCCAAGGCUUCAUGUGGUGAGAACCGGCUUAAUCGAAAAGCCUUGGAACCGGGCAAAAGUCGUAACAAGGUAGCUGUAGGUGAACCUGCUGCUGGAUCAUUA